UUUGCCACUGCGUGGGUGCAU
This 21-nucleotide non-coding RNA is filed under the name Arabidopsis thaliana (thale cress). Lineage: Eukaryota; Viridiplantae; Streptophyta; Magnoliopsida; Brassicales; Brassicaceae. The record is from RNAcentral.